This 116-nucleotide ribosomal RNA is filed under the name Cephaloticoccus capnophilus. The record is from RNAcentral. Lineage: Bacteria; Pseudomonadati; Verrucomicrobiota; Opitutia; Opitutales; Opitutaceae.
CUUGGUGAUUAUUUGCCGGAGGCACCACCCGUUCCCAUCCCGAACACGGCCGUUAAGCUCCGAACAGCCAAUGGUAGUAGGGCACUAUGCCCCGCGAGAGUAGGUCAUCGCCAAGU